This 68-nucleotide transfer RNA is filed under the name Acanthaspis cincticrus. Its description in RNAcentral is "tRNA-Met". Lineage: Eukaryota; Metazoa; Arthropoda; Insecta; Hemiptera; Reduviidae. The record is from RNAcentral.
AAAAAGAUAAGCUAAUUAAGCUUUUAGGUUCAUACCCUGAUUAUAGAAGUCAAAUCUUCUUCUUUUUA